CCUACGGGUGACAGCAGUGAGGAAUAUUGGUCAAUGCACGAGAGUCUGAACCAGCCACGUAGCGUGAAGGAUGACUGCCCUAGGGGUUGUAAACUUCUUUUAUAUGGGAGUAAAAUGUUCCACGUGUGGGAUUUUGUAUGUACCGUAUGUGUAAGAAUAGGCUAACUCCGUGCCAGCAGCGGCGGUAAUACGGAGGAGCCGAGCGUUAUCCGGAUUUAUUGGGUUGAAAGGGAGCGUAGGUGGAGUGGUAAGUCAGUUGUGAAAGUUUGCGGCUCAACCGUACAAUUGCAGUUGAAACUGGCAGUCUUGAGUACAGUAGAGGUGUGCGGAAUUCGUGGUGUAGCGGUGAAAUGCUUAGAUAUCACGAAGAACUCCGAUUGCGAAGGCAGCUCACUGGACUGCAACUGACACUGAGGCGCGAAAGUGUGGGUAUCAAACAGGAUUAGAUACCCCUGUAGUC
RNAcentral lists this ribosomal RNA (460 nucleotides) under uncultured bacterium. RNAcentral's name for it is "partial 16S ribosomal RNA". It matches the Rfam family "Bacterial small subunit ribosomal RNA", at positions 338 to 795 of the family's 1533-position model. The record is from RNAcentral.